Molecule: ribosomal RNA, 446 nt
Filed under: Cornirostra pellucida
Lineage: Eukaryota; Metazoa; Mollusca; Gastropoda; Cornirostridae
Description: partial 16S ribosomal RNA
Rfam family: Bacterial large subunit ribosomal RNA
Source: RNAcentral
ACUUAUCUGAGAUAACGUCUGCUCAAUGUUUUAUAAAUUGCCGCGGUAUCCUGACCGUGCAAAGGUAGCAUAAUAAUUUGUCCUCUAAUUAAGGUCUUGAAUGAAUGGCUUAAUGGGAAAAAGCUGUCUCACACGUUACCAUAGAACUUACUUUUUAGGUGAAAAAGCCUAAGUUUUUAUAGAGGACGAGAAGACCCUAUGAAUUAAUUAAAACCCUUUAUUGAAGGUAUCUUUUUUGUUGGGGCAACAACGGAGCAAGAAAUCUCCAAUUUCUCUACUUUGACACGACAGAGCUUUCAAGCUUGAAAUAAUUACCAUAGGGAUAACAGCAUAAUUUCUUUUGAAGUUUGUGACCUCGAUGUUGGACUAGGGAAUAUACAGGCUAAAAGCUUGUAAUUUUGGUUCUGUUCGAACCACAACCCCUACGUGAUCUGAGUUCAGACCGG